AUACCCAAGUUGGGGCUCUCUUGGCUCCAAUUCUAAAACUAAGUGAUGGUAGAACUAGCUGCAUUUUCAUGGAUACCUUUGAUUUCACAGCAAAUAAACUUGGGAAGCAUGCAUGUGAAUGUCAUGGGUUUGCAUGAAUCUGGAGAUGGGGUUACCUUUAUCUUUUUGUAUCGGAGUGAAGGGAGCUUCAAAUAGGCUCUUA
Molecule: non-coding RNA, 202 nt
Organism: Lupinus albus (white lupine)
Lineage: Eukaryota; Viridiplantae; Streptophyta; Magnoliopsida; Fabales; Fabaceae
Source: the annotation of a GenBank genome assembly